GACGAACGCUGGCGGCGUGCUUAACACAUGCAAGUCGAACGGAAAGGCCCUGCUUGCAGGGUACUCGAGUGGCGAACGGGUGAGUAACACGUGGGUGAUCUGCCCUGCACUUCGGGAUAAGCCUGGGAAACUGGGUCUAAUACCGGAUAGGAGCCAUUUUUAGUGUGAUGGUUGGAAAGUUUUUUCGGUGUAGGAUGAGCUCGCGGCCUAUCAGCUUGUUGGUGGGGUAAUGGCCUACCAAGGCGGCGACGGGUAGCCGGCCUGAGAGGGUGGACGGCCAAAUGGGGACAGAGAUACGGCCCAGACCCCAAGGGGAGGAAGGGGGGGGGAAUAGGGAAAAGGGGGCGAAAGCUUGAGCAGGCGGGGCCGGGGGGGGAAUGACGGCUUGCGGGUUGAAAACUCUUUUCACGAGGAAAAAAGUUUGUGGGAAGGGAAAAAAAAAAAAAAACACCGCCAAACGAGGU
RNAcentral lists this ribosomal RNA (464 nucleotides) under uncultured bacterium. Its description in RNAcentral is "partial 16S ribosomal RNA". It matches the Rfam family "Bacterial small subunit ribosomal RNA", at positions 28 to 491 of the family's 1533-position model. The record is from RNAcentral.